AAAUAAAUAGACAGAAAGAAAACCCCAACACAAGCUAAAUUGCGAGACACACCGAUAGGUUGUUGUCGUCGUAUGCAUGCGAGAAAAUACACGCGUGCUCUGACGCAUUCGUGAAUAUCUUAACACAUACACACACACACACACACACACACGUACAUACAUAACUCUAUACAAACAUACGCACAAAACACCUCUCGAAGACGGUUGAGCAAAACUAGCGGAUUAAAAAUUAUAUAUAUUCAAAUGCAUAACAUAUAUGCAUACAUAUAUACCUGCAUUUGAACACCUGAAAGGAAUACAGCUGGGUGCGCGUGUAUGCAUGCAUAUAUAUAUAUAUAUAUAUAUUUAUAUAUAUUUAUGUGUGUGUGUGUGUGUGUGUAUAUGCAUUAUGCAUACAUAAACAGGCUAGCAGGGAGUCUCACUGAUGUACGUUCAAGGCUAUGCUUUGCUGAUUGGUGAUUAAACAAUUCAGAGACGCCAUCCGCACCGCAGAAAAAACACAAUAGGUUUUUGCAAGUGCUCUGAGUCAAAGUAAAAGCGUUACCAAUGGCAAGAAUUUCUGAAAGAGGAACAACGAAAUAACGAAAACCGAAGAAAGACAACAGCUGAUCAACAACAAAGAUAACAAAAGCGGCAAAAAAGGAAAAA
Octopus bimaculoides (California two-spot octopus) is the source of this 648-nucleotide long non-coding RNA. The record is from RefSeq and is a predicted model, not a curated record. NCBI's taxonomy places the organism in Eukaryota, Metazoa, Mollusca, Cephalopoda, Octopoda, Octopodidae.